UAGGGAUACAAGCGCGUUCAGGAAAUUAUAUGGGUGAAGACCAAUAGACUUCAACGCAUUAUUCGAACUGGCCGCACUAGCCAUUGAGCAGGCAGGAGGAGGAAGCAGAGAGGGAGAGGGCGAGGAGAUCCUGGUCUGCACCUUGCGUCUCCCACAAGCUACUGCAACGGGAGAAUCGUAUACCCAAAAUCUUUCUCAAAGCCUACAGCUACUGCCUCCCCAAGCAAUGCCAACCUGCAGCAACAAGAUAAGCUACACUCUGUUUAUGUAUUACAUAUUUUAUUCAACUAUGCCCCUCUCUUUAAUCUUCCCAUUGUGAAUAGGUUAUAUGGUAAUAUAAAUAGCUGAUUUGAUAAUGGAAAAAUCUGAUUUGAUAAUAGAAAUAGCUGGUUUGAUACAAACAUAUUGCUAACUCCUUAGGUGUAAUGUUGUUUAAAAGAUGCCACAGUCAUAUUUUUUUUUUCAUGAGACAAACAUGUAUUUGUUUGUUUGUAGGGUUCAGAUUUUAAGAUCUCCGGUGGGCUUCUAUAGGAUUGGUAAAAGAGGAGGACCAGAGCUGACCAACUCUUCUCAAGGUCACCUUUCUACAACAAUGUGGACCAGACUAUUGUGAGAAUUUUUAGCAGAAUGAUUCUUGAUAUUAUGUUGGAUCAUGUUGGAAUUCCUAGAGCUAUUUAUCGGAGAAGGAUGUACCCGCAUAACACAAUGACUGUCACUGUGCUUUUCUACCGGAGAAAUGCACGCAUUUGAGUAUUUCUGUUAGCCAUCUUGGUUGAUUACAUCUGGUCAUUACAUUCUUCGGGAGGAGACCUUGUGUUGAGCAUGACACCCAGUCUGGCCAGCCUUGCAACUGCCAGCAACCCGAUUCAUCGAAUGUACGUUGAGCCAAGCAAUGGUCUUUGUUAUGAGGAGCCUGACUGCACCGAAUAUGAUGAGUUUCCUGGCUACUAUCCAUCUGACCAUGAGGACAACAAUAGUGAUUGCUUAUCUGAGCUUGAGCUGUGGUGAAUGCGACCGAUGUUUUGACCGCAUAAGAAGAUGAAGUUCUUUUCGUUUAUCGAGUAAUAUUAUCAUAGGUGGAUGUGAUGCCUCUAUAGAGGCGUUGUGAAUCAGUGUAGUAGCACACCACCCUAUCCUUAUUGUAAAUUAUGUGUGCUCAUCGCUAUGAGACAGUCCUUCGGAUGGAUUUACUAAUCCAUGGUUAUUGUA
Molecule: long non-coding RNA, 1209 nt
Organism: Triticum dicoccoides
Lineage: Eukaryota; Viridiplantae; Streptophyta; Magnoliopsida; Poales; Poaceae
Exons: 5
Source: RefSeq, a predicted model, not a curated record